RNAcentral lists this transfer RNA (66 nucleotides) under Acanthochitona mahensis. RNAcentral's name for it is "tRNA-Gly". The record is from RNAcentral. Lineage: Eukaryota; Metazoa; Mollusca; Polyplacophora; Chitonida; Acanthochitonidae.
AUUUCCUUAGUAUAAAUAGUACAUUUGCCUUCCAAGCAAAGAGUUUAAUUAACCUUAAAGAAAAUA